GGGCGCAUAGCUCAGUUGGUUAGAGCGCCUCGCUUACACCGAGGAGGUCAGGGGUUCGAGUCCCUUUGCGCCCACCU
This 77-nucleotide transfer RNA is filed under the name Chloroflexi bacterium HGW-Chloroflexi-6. RNAcentral describes it as "tRNA-Val". It matches the Rfam family "tRNA". From Rfam's summary of the family: Transfer RNA (tRNA) molecules are approximately 80 nucleotides in length. Their secondary structure includes four short double-helical elements and three loops (D, anti-codon, and T loops). Lineage: Bacteria; Bacillati; Chloroflexota. RNAcentral also lists the same sequence under 1 other name. The record is from RNAcentral.